UAAUACAUGCAAGUCGAGCGCACCUUCGGGUGAGCGGCGGACGGGUGAGUAACGCGUGGGAACGUGCCCUUUGGUACGGGAUAACUGAGGGAAACUUCAGCUAAUACCGUAUGUGCCCUACGGGGGAAAGAUUUAUCGCCAUUGGAGCGGCCCGCGUUGGAUUAGGUAGUUGGUGGGGUAAAGGCCCACCAAGCCGACGAUCCAUAGCUGGUCUGAGAGGAUGAUCAGCCACACUGGGACUGAGACACGGCCCAGACUCCUACGGGAGGCAGCAGUAGGGAAUCUUGCGCAAUGGGCGAAAGCCUGACGCAGCCAUGCCGCGUGAAUGAUGAAGGUCUUAGGAUUGUAAAAUUCUUUCACCGGGGAAGAUAAUGACGGUACCCGGAGAAGAAGCCCCGGCUAACUUCGUGCCAGCAGCCGCGGUAAUACGAAGGGGGCUAGCGUUGCUCGGAAUUACUGGGCGUAAAGGGCGCGUAGGCGGAUGUUUAAGUCGGGGGUGAAAGCCCGGGGCUCAACCUCGGAAUUGCCUUCGAUACUGGACAUCUUGAGUACGGGAGAGGUGAGUGGAACUCCGAGUGUAGAGGUGAAAUUCGUAGAUAUUCGGAAGAACACCAGUGGCGAAGGCGACUCACUGGC
RNAcentral lists this ribosomal RNA (636 nucleotides) under uncultured Alphaproteobacteria bacterium. Its description in RNAcentral is "bacterial SSU rRNA". It matches the Rfam family "Bacterial small subunit ribosomal RNA", at positions 49 to 733 of the family's 1533-position model. The record is from RNAcentral. Lineage: Bacteria; Pseudomonadati; Pseudomonadota; Alphaproteobacteria.